UUAAGAAUACUUGCCCAAAUAAUGGCUGCAUUGUCACCUCGGUCACUUUAAAAUAUGGGCUCCACAUUUCACCUUCCCCUCACACCACAUAUAUUUACACGAUGCAAUAAAAGAUUGUAUGUCAAUCUCAUGCCUUGUUUUGAAAUCGAUUAAGUAAAAAAUGGUACCCUUAUGUGUGCACUUGCCAGAGAGGUGCAUUCAAUACUUCCCUACUUGAGGGGAUCGCAUAUACUAAAUUAAAAUGCAGUGAUCACAUCACAAAUUAUAAAUUGUUUUCUUAAUUUACACACACCGUACACCUGCUUUCCCAAAUCGGCAUUACCAUAUCACCAUAUAUCCAACCUUUAGGCGCAACAGGCAACCUACAAUUGGAGUGAUGGUUUAGUAAGAAAGAACAUUUAGCACAAAGAAAGAUGAAUUUUGAAAGAAAAAAACUUAGAAAAAAUUGAUGCUCGACUCACUACUAAUACCAUCUAAUAAUAUGCAAGAUAGUAAUAAGAGGUCAAGCCAAUCAAGUGAAAGACGUUUGAACUGGAAUUAGACACAUUGUACAUCAUCAAUCAUUAGGAGCUGGACCCCAUAGAAUCUUUUCGGGUUCAGUUGUAUGAUUAGAAUUUGGCUUCAAACUAACUAAACUAAAGAGUUUUUUUUUCUUGUCCACCCUUCAGUUGCCAAAUUAUGAUUCAUAAAGUUAUAGCGCAUCUUGGAAAUGUUAUAAUAGUUUUGGUUACACGGUUCAUGAUAUACCUAUGGAUAUUAUACUGACUGAUAGUCCAUGGUUCAUUUGAGCUCACUUUGGCGCGAAUGCAGUGAUGAAGGUUCGACAUGCAGUUUCGGAUUUCCCUUCUCAUUCAGUGCAGCUUCCCUCAUGAUGUAUGCCACAUGCUAAUAUGAACUUUCUCAUUGUAUAUAAAUUUUCAUGAGAGAAAAAGAGAAAAGAUGCUCCAGUUUUCCUUGCAGCUCAAUUUUCACACCCUUCCCAGGUUAAUAUUCACUAUUUUCUUUGGACCAUCUUUAUGCUGCCUUUUCUCUGUACACACCUCAUCAAAACUGAACAAAGAGGCAUCACAUAGGUUUAGAUGGCGCGUGUGAACAUGGUUUAAGAUAUGAUGUUUCUUGGAGAGAGCAAACUUACCUUUUCCAUUUCAUGGUUUAUUAACUAAAAUAUUGAUCGACGGCACAUUCUGAUGCUUCAGCUUUGUUUUUGCCUUCUUGUCACUUAAUUAGGCACUAUAGUAAGAAAGCAUACUGAAUGAGACUCGAAGGAAUUUUGAUGUCAACUUGUAAUUAGCAAAACUUAAAAUGAUCUCUUUAAACAAGUAUCAGAUUAAAGAAACCAAUAUAGAACCAUAUUAAAUAGGGACUGAGCUUAGCUGGAAGGUGAGAAAGAAAUUACAAUUGCUAUUGGUGCAACAUUACAAAAUUUAGCUUAGCUAUCUAUCAGAUUUCUUGACUCAAAUUCCAGCUAGCAAAGAAGAAGAAUGAAUCCCCAGAAAAACCAUGCUAAACGAAAUAGAGACUCAUCGAUUGACCUCAAUCACAUUAUUUGUUAAAUAGAGACUGAGCAAAGAGGGAAGGUCAGAAAGAAAUUACAAUUGCUAUUGGUGCAACAAUACAAAUUUUAGCUUAGCUAUCUAUCAGAUUUCUUGACGCAAAUUCUAGCAAGCAAAGACGAAGAUUGAAUCCCCAAAAAUCCAUGCUAAACCAAAUAGAGACUCAUUGAUUUACCUCAAUUAAAUUGUUUAUAAAACAUUGUACAUGAACUUGUUUUAAAUACAUGACAAAAUCUAGCUGAGCUAAACCUUCCUGGAAUCUUAUGUGGAUUUUUAGAGUUUAGACCAAGGAGAAAUGGGGAAAUAAUUCAUGAUAGAGGGUAGUGCAUGCAGGAGCCUCCGAAUAGCGGGUAGCCUAGCGAGGUUUGUAGGAAAAAGGUGGCUUUUGUCUCAUCAGUGAGUUUGUUGCCCAAUGCCCGUGCUACUGAUAUAAUGUCGUUCAUGACAUACCUCGCCCAGUUCCAAUUUGGGAUGUCAUCUAAAUUUUCAAGAGCCACAAAAUAUGCUGGAAGAAUAACUACAGAUCAAAUGGACCUCAAACUUUAUCUCACCGUGAACACCACAUAAAUCACAUUCUAACAUGGAGGCCUCAGCCAUCGCCAAGGCAUCUCAUGGAACAUGGGGGAAACUCCAAAUCGAACAGAGCAACACAAAAAUAGGAAUCAGGCAUGAGGAAAGGGGAAUAAGCUAACCUGGGUAAUGGGAUCAGCAGGUCGAGGAGGGUGCCACCGUGCCAGCGGCCUCCACAAGGAUAAUCUUGCACACGAUGUCGCCUCAAGCAAUGGAUCGCAACCACCAGAACCGAAGCACUUGUUGUUCAUGGUUUCAGUUAUGAGAUAUCCCGUCAACUGAGGUACAAAUCACAAAUAGGUCAGCUCACGAGCUAAAGAAUAUAAUCUUAUCCAAGAAAAGACAAAAUAGUCCAGAGCAGCAAAGCUUUAUUAAGUUCUUUACUAAGAAAGCGAACUUAGUAAUUACAGCCCAAACAGAGAAUAAAUGGUUUAGAACAGGCAUAAAUCUGAUCCAUCUUCCAUCAUCAAUAAUAAAGAUAGGAAAUCUUGAAAUCCUUGAUCCAAACAUCAGAAGUCACAAAAGUCGAAGCAAACAGUGAACUGAAAAUUACUCCGAAAAAAACUUUUAUUUUGUUGACUCUAGACGAAGCCCAUGCUUUGUUGUCCUGGCAAUACAACAAAUUACUGGCCCAAGCUUGAAGUACUAACAAGAACGAAUCCCUUUCGUUAUUAAUUCAUUCAAUGAACAGCAGAGAAAAUGGAUGCUUGUGCAGGCAUCGUAAUGAAUGGUACUUGAUUUAGAGAAAUAACUAUGCUAAUAUAUGACUUCGCUAACUAAUCAAUCUGCUGCAAUCACAGUUGGUGCAUAACACUAAACGAGCACUUGUGAUCAGGGCAACGGUUAUAGAUAAGUAAAGAGAAAUUACAAAACAAGGUAUGACGAGACUACCAAAUCAGCCUGAGAAAGUAGAAAGUAGGAUCAACGGAAACAUAACAAAGGAAACAGAAUAAUGAAUAUUUAGUGGAGAUGAGCUAGUUGAACCUACAGGCCAGAGGAAGAGCUCACCGGAAGGUUAGGCCAGCGAAUUUGGGACCGAUCCCUAGAAGGAAGAAGCGAAGAACUAAAGAACACAUCUUGUUCACGCCUAACUAUGUUGUGCAAUUGUGCCGAUGGCCUCGUCGUCUAAGGCAAAUACAUGUCUCCAUCAUAAAUCAAAAGCGUGAACUGGGAGGACUUCUGCAAUUGCUAAGCGAAUCAUGCAUACAACCAUGACAGUGGCUACAAAUUUGAGUUUCUUCACCUCCCGAUGCAAUUACAACAUAUGAUUAUGCACAUAUAUAAUAGUAGUAUGAUGGAUUAACUACCAUCAAGAAGAGAACAUAAACUGACAGAUUUUCCGGUAAAAAAAACUGGCUGCAUUAAUGUUUACCUUUCCCACUGCAUAACCAAAUGUCAUUAACUAUCAAAUUAGUCGCAAAUAAGCCAAAUAUCACCAACGGGUUGCUACCUUGAUGCUUUAUAUUUCUUCUAUGUGUCUUGCUGUCCCCUUCAAGUAACUGACGCGCCCGGUCGAUCCCAAAGGUUGCUAUUUCCUUGUGGAGUUUCUUAUUGACAUAGAUCUGAACAAAAAUGGAGGGACCAAAUAAAUUUCAGAUUUAGGAGUCAGGAACUAACAGUUGUAAAUCCACACCAAUGAACACAAAUACAACCUGAUUAUGUGGCAGACCUUUAACAGGAAAGGUAAAAUCUGUAGCAUAGUUUGCAACUUAAAAUUAUAGGUCACUAAAGUGCAUGCCACAACAUAAGCAAAAUUCAUCUAACAAACCUCGAGCUUGUGUACGACUGUCUUAUUAAGCACAUCAUGCUGACAUGCAAACUCGUGAUUGGAAAAAAGAAGUUACUCUAGCGAAAACUGGUGCUAAGCAGUAAUGGGAGCUAGAGGGAGCACCGCUUCUGAACAUUCUAAAACAAUGAAAAGGCGUGCUUACAUCUAUGAAGCUAAAAAUAGUACACCGAACCAUAUUGAUUGAAUACGGGUAACAACGGAAAAACAAUUAAUUGGAGUGCAGAAUCUGCAUAGAAUAGAACCGGAACACAUCAAUCUAGGCAUCUAACUAGCUUCUGCCAUCAGGGUUGCUUGCUAAUUGCAACAAUAUUCAUAACUGAAGAUUCAAUGAGAACUACCAAGGGAUAAAAAAAGGGAACUGAAUCUGUUCACUCAAUGUGUGCAUGACCUGCAAUGUCCUCACAUAUGAGUAAUUCAUCAAAGAAACCAUAAAAAAUUCAUCAAACAAAAAACACAAAUGGAAGGCAAGCUUACCUGAAUGGGGAUUGCCCGUGACCUGGAUCUCGUCGUUCGCGUGCUGGUGAUCUGCUACUAUUUGAACAACAACUCUGCCCGCUGAUGCUGUCCAAACUGUGCAAAUUUAUCCAUACUAUCCCUGCAAUUGUUAAGAUCAAAAUCAGCAUCUUUUACAACUAAUGCAGAGUAUGAAUUUCUCGGCAGACAAAAAAGGCUUUGUAGAUUCAGUAUAGUUGACACAAACAAAAUGCAGUACCUGCUUUCCUCAAGAACCCGUGUCUGAAAGAUGUGGAGAGAAAAUUGCAAAAUAUGAGCAUUAGUACUUCUUAGGUAUCACAGAAAUUCAAUGCAACUUCAACAAGACCAGCGCUUGCUUUUCACACUAUUGAAAAUUCACGUCUUCCAUAUUUGAUCCACCUUUCCGCUGGGCAAAACAACAAAUAUGUGGGGGCAAAAUAUCUAUUUAUGCUCAGAAAAGAAAUUACCAAAUAUCCGGCCACGAGCGCGUGUGUGAGAGGACCGAGGAGAGAGUGUGCGUGACAGCGAGAGAGGAUGAAGGCAAGGACGUGGGGGCUGAUCUCUCGGGUGGAUGGACGGCAGCGCGAAAGCCGGACGGAGCUGGCCGUCUCUGCAGCCCACGCUCCUCUUGCCGACGAUGGCGCCGUGGACCACCGCUGCGACUCAAGCUCCUCCCGGGGUCGCUGCUGCACGCGUGGAGAUGGAGGCGGGGUGCAGCCUUCCGUGCAUCGCGCACGAGCCCCAGCCUCCUCGCAGCUCCCGAUCCAGGAACGGGUCGAGCCGCCGCCAACCGUCAGAUCGAGCCCGACCUCGCCGGCGCAGGCCGACGCCGGCCGGUGACCCUCUCCCGUCAGCCGCCACACCUCACUCUCCUCUUCCCUCUCUCUUUCUCCCUCCUCUCCUUCCUUCUCUCUCUCUCAUCUUCUCUCUCUGCCGGGGUUCGUGCGGGAGGAGGGGAUUGGGAAGGCGGCGCAAAGGAGAGGGAGGAAGGAGAGGAGGCAGUGCGGAUAUUUUCUAGGGCUCGGCUCACUCCACCCAGAACGAGGUACACCUUAGUCAUGAUAAAAAGCAACUGAUUACUG
This 5468-nucleotide long non-coding RNA is filed under the name Triticum aestivum (bread wheat). RNAcentral's name for it is "long non-coding RNA (TAES_LNC013529)". The record is from RNAcentral. Lineage: Eukaryota; Viridiplantae; Streptophyta; Magnoliopsida; Poales; Poaceae.